Molecule: long non-coding RNA, 1378 nt
Filed under: Homo sapiens (human)
Lineage: Eukaryota; Metazoa; Chordata; Mammalia; Primates; Hominidae
Description: HSALNT0298599
Source: RNAcentral
CAGAGCGAAACUCUGUCUCCAAAAAAAAAAAAAAUAGUUGCCGUGGGCAGUACUAGUGAUUUGUUAAUUAUAUAUCCAACACCUAUUUCUUGAGUUGCCUUCUAGUCUAGUCUGGACUGGCUUAUAGGAACGUUUUUCAAACUUUUUUGACAAUGGCCUACAGAAGAAAUAUAUUUUACUUUGUAAAGCAUAGACAUGUGUCUGUCAUUGAAACAAAAAUUUCACAAAAUAAUAAUCACCCCUCUUUUGAGUGAUUCACUUGGAUAUCUUCUAUGCUUUUAUACUUUGCCACCUUAUUUUUAAAAAUACAAAUUAUGGCCCACUAAAUGGAUUCCAUGACUUACAAAUGGGUCACAACCCAAAAGCUGAAAAAUACUGGCUUAUAUGAACAAUACACAGAUCGUGCCCUCAAGGAAUUUAUACAUUAGUUGGGAGUCUCAUACAGUUCACAGACCUCUUACAGUUGGAAAGGCCUGGAGGUCAAUUAGUUCCACUACCUACUCGAUAUUUGAUUCUACAGCAUCCCUGAAAAAAGGUGAGAAAUGUGAAAAAGGCUUGUUUGCUAUUUCAAGGACAAGAAGUUACCUCUUAUUUGGAACCUAACACAAGAUGGGUCAAAUAGAGACCCGUUUUUAACAGGUCUCUAUUUAAAACAGUACAGAAGCAAAUACAAAUGAAUCAAGUAUCAAAAUACACACUUGAUUUCUUUUUUCUAAAAGAUAACUUGGACCUUUGUUCCUAAACCCAUCUUAGUCCUUUUUAGGAGGAGGGUGAAAAGGGGAAGGUAAAUCAGGGGGACAGAGGUCUAGAAAGCCUUCUCUCUGAUGACCUGAAGAAGGGGUCUUAGCAAGUUACAUCACAAGCAGCCUUCGUGAUUGAGGAGCCUAAUAAAUGACACCCACAAUGACGGCUAGGAGAGUGGAAGUCAGGAAAGGCUCCCCUGAGGAGGUUUGAAAUGAGCUGAGUCUUGAAAGACUGACUGGCAUCAGACAGGUGAAGAAAAGACGGGAGAGUGUAGUCAAAGACUCUCAAGGAGAAAUGAGCCAGUACAUUUGGCGGACAGUAGACAGGUCCCUGAAGAGGAGCAAUAAGAGAUGAAGCCAAAAAGAAAGACUGAAAGCAACCUGUGGAAAACUACUUCAGAGAAAGACUUUAAAUUUCUGAGAAAAUCUUUAUACAUAUUGAGUAUAGAUGCUAUCAACCACAUACAUGAAAAUAAUUGUUUGGGGAUAAUGCACACCAUUUGCCAAUGAUUAAGAUUCAGCCCAGUCUUUGUUGCUGCAUUUCUACAUUCACAUAAAUUGGCAGCAGCUGGGGGAAGAAUCAACACACCAGGGAGCAGAGCGGAGCGGAUCCGAGGACAGAGGCGGCAGCUGCC